AUCUGGUUGAUCCUGCCAGAGGUUACUGCUAUCGGUGUUCGCCUAAGCCAUGCGAGUCAUAUGUAGCAAUACAUGGCGUACUGCUCACUAACACGUGGAUAACCUGCCCUUGGGACUGACAUAACCCCGGGAAACUGGGGAUAAUUCCGGAUAACGCAUAUUUGCUGGAAUGCUUUAUGCGUCAAAAGGAUUCGUCUGCCCAAUGAUGGGUCUGCCGUCUACCAUGUAAUAGUGGGUGUAAUGUACCUACUAGCCAGCGCACGGGUACGGGUUGUGAGAGCAAGAGCCCGGAGAUGGAUUCUGAGACAUGAAUCCAGGCCCUACGGGGCGCAGCAGGCGCGAAAACUUUACAAUGCGGGAAACCGUGAUAAGGGGACACCGAGUGCCAGCAUCAUAUGCUGGCUGUCCGGAUGUGUAAAAUACAUCCGUUAGCAAGGGCCGGGCAAGACCGGUGCCAGCCGCCGCGGUAACACCGGCGGCCCGAGUGGUGAUCGUGAUUAUUGGGUCUAAAGGGUCCGUAGCCGGUUUGGUCAGUCCUCCGGGAAAUCUGAUAGCUCAACUAUUAGGCUUUCGGGGGAUACUGCCAGACUUGGAACCGGGAGAGGUAAGAGGUACUACAGGGGUAGGAGUGAAAUCUUGUAAUCCCUGUGGGACCACCUGUGGCGAAGGCGUCUUACCAGAACGGGUUCGACGGUGAGGGACGAAAGCUGGGGGCACGAACCGGAUUAGAUACCCGGGUAGUCCCAGCCGUAAACGAUGCUCGCUAGGUGUCAGGCAUGGCGCGACCGUGUCUGGUGCCGCAGGGAAGCCGUGAAGCGAGCCACCUGGGAAGUACGGCCGCAAGGCUGAAACUUAAAGGAAUUGGCGGGGGAGCACAACAACGGGUGGAGCCUGCGGUUUAAUUGGACUCAACGCCGGACAACUCACCGGGGGCGACAGUAAUAUGUAGGCCAAGCUGAAGACUUUGCCUGAAUCGCUGAGAGGAGGUGCAUGGCCGUCGCCAGUUCGUACUGUGAAGCAUCCUGUUAAGUCAGGCAACGAGCGAGACCCAAAUCGAAU
RNAcentral lists this ribosomal RNA (1059 nucleotides) under uncultured archaeon. RNAcentral describes it as "bacterial SSU rRNA". It matches the Rfam family "Archaeal small subunit ribosomal RNA", at positions 1 to 1062 of the family's 1478-position model. The record is from RNAcentral.